CUACACAUGCAGUCGAGCGGUAGAGAGGUGCUUGCACCUCUUGAGAGCGGCGGACGGGUGAGUAAAGCCUAGGAAUCUGCCUGGUAGUGGGGGAUAACGCUCGGAAACGGACGCUAAUACCGCAUACGUCCUACGGGAGAAAGCAGGGGACCUUCGGGCCUUGCGCUAUCAGAUGAGCCUAGGUCGGAUUAGCUAGUUGGUGAGGUAAUGGCUCACCAAGGCGACGAUCCGUAACUGGUCUGAGAGGAUGAUCAGUCACACUGGAACUGAGACACGGUCCAGACUCCUACGGGAGGCAGCAGUGGGGAAUAUUGGACAAUGGGCGAAAGCCUGAUCCAGCCAUGCCGCGUGUGUGAAGAAGGUCUUCGGAUUGUAAAGCACUUUAAGUUGGGAGGAAGGGCAUUAACCUAAUACGUUAGUGUUUUGACGUUACCGACAGAAUAAGCACCGGCUAACUCUGUGCCAGCAGCCGCGGUAAUACAGAGGGUGCAAGCGUUAAUCGGAAUUACUGGGCGUAAAGCGCGCGUAGGUGGUUCGUUAAGUUGGAUGUGAAAUCCCCGGGCUCAACCUGGGAACUGCAUUCAAAACUGUCGAGCUAGAGUAUGGUAGAGGGUGGUGGAAUUUCCUGUGUAGCGGUGAAAUGCGUAGAUAUAGGAAGGAACACCAGUGGCGAAGGCGACCACCUGGACUGAUACUGACACUGAGGUGCGAAAGCGUGGGGAGCAACAGGAUUAGAUACCCUGGUAGUCCACGCCGUAAACGAUGUC
This 767-nucleotide ribosomal RNA is filed under the name uncultured bacterium. RNAcentral describes it as "bacterial SSU rRNA". It matches the Rfam family "Bacterial small subunit ribosomal RNA", at positions 49 to 813 of the family's 1533-position model. The record is from RNAcentral.